CCUACGGGAGGCAGCAGUGAGGAAUAUUGGUCAAUGGGCGCAAGCCUGAACCAGCCAAGUCGCGUGAGGGAUGAAGGUCCUAUGGAUUGUAAACCUCUUUUGUCGGGGAGCAAGGCCCGCCACGUGUGGCGGGAAGGAGAGUACCCGAAGAAAAAGCAUCGGCUAACUCCGUGCCAGCAGCCGCGGUACUACGGAGGAUGCGAGCGUUAUCCGAAUUUAUUGGGUUUAAAGGGUGCGUAGGCGGAAGGUUAAGUCAGCGGUAAAAUGUCGGUGCUCAACACCGGCCUGCCUGUGAAACUGGUCUUCUUGAGUGAGCGAGAAGUAUGCGGAAUGCGUGGUGUAGCGGUGAAAUGCAUAGAUAUCACGAAGAACUCCGAUUGCGAAGGCAGCAUACCGGCGCUCAACUGACGCUGAGGCACGAAAGCGUGGGGAUCGAACAGGAUUAGAUACCCGAGUAGUC
This 460-nucleotide ribosomal RNA is filed under the name uncultured bacterium. RNAcentral's name for it is "partial 16S ribosomal RNA". It matches the Rfam family "Bacterial small subunit ribosomal RNA", at positions 338 to 795 of the family's 1533-position model. The record is from RNAcentral.